This 471-nucleotide long non-coding RNA is filed under the name Triticum aestivum (bread wheat). Its description in RNAcentral is "long non-coding RNA (TAES_LNC027772)". Lineage: Eukaryota; Viridiplantae; Streptophyta; Magnoliopsida; Poales; Poaceae. The record is from RNAcentral.
AAAGAUCCAUGAUAAAAUAGGUGCAUACAUCCUAUUUGAUGCAUUAACACAAUCCUCCGAAGGGCAUAUACACCAUGCAUAGAAGAGAAGCUAAACAAGGAGGAAAAACCGAAUGGAAAUCACAUCCAAGAAGGAUGGUAAAAUCCAGACGUACUGAUCAUCCUCAACCCAUCCAAGGCAAGGCCGUACUCGAAUCCCGUGGUGGUGGAGUAUCCUAGGCGGCGGAGCAGGGAAAGGAAUGACACACCAGCGCGACCGGCGAAGACGAAGACACCAUUGACUGCUCGUCCUUCUCUUUGGCGCCACACUCCGAGGCACGACAAAUGUUUUCAUCAUUCCAGUUCCCAUUGAACUGAUGCUUGAUUCUGGUGCAAACCUAUAAGAAAGAACACAUAUUUAUGUAUAUUUCAUCAAGUAUAUGCCAGAAAUAUCAACAAGCGAAACCUAUGUGGUUUGACCUCAAGUCCCGUC